This 7158-nucleotide long non-coding RNA is filed under the name Setaria italica (foxtail millet). RNAcentral describes it as "long non-coding RNA (SITA_LNC001846)". Lineage: Eukaryota; Viridiplantae; Streptophyta; Magnoliopsida; Poales; Poaceae. The record is from RNAcentral.
CUGAAAGAGGAGUCAUGGAAAGAUUUUAACAGCGAGUGGCUGAACCCCAACAAUGUCUACCCAAAGCAGCUAUUGGAGAGGAUAUUCAACUUGACGAGGACAAUGGAAUUCAUGUACAACCAAGAGGACAAUUUCACAAACUGCACCAACCUAAAGGAUACCAUCCAUUCGCUGUUCGCGGAACCAUAUACAAAGCUUAUUUAGGAUUUGUGUGAGCACACAACCAAUCAAUUUGUACAAGAUCUGAUUCACAAGUCACAACACAUGAGUUACGAUUUGAUUCACAACACGCGGUGGAUUCACUAGCAAAAAUCACAAACAAAUCAUUCAAAAAAGAGGUGAAUCAAAUCUGGCAGCUCGCGUGGUAGCUCGCGCCGCGCCGGGCCACCUGUGGCCGCACCGCGCCGGGCAGCUCCGCCCACACCGGCCAUCUCGCGGGGAGGGAGCUGGGAGGAGGAGGUCAGGGAGGUGGGGAGGGAGGGAGCAGAGGGAGGAGCGCCGGCCAUUUGCAUGUGCUGAGGGAGAGGAGCAGAUAUGGGAGAGAGAGAGAGAGGAGUCGGAGAGAUAAAGGCUGGUGUCAUGGAUUUAGUCUCGGUUGGUGGCUCCAACCAGGACUAAAGGUACAGAUUUAGUUCCGGUGGAGGCCACCAACCGGGAUUAACUCCAUUUAUCCUGGCUAGUGGCUCCAACCGGGACUUAAAGCUUCACUUUUAUCUCGGUUGGAACCACCAACCAGAACUAAAAGGAUUUUGAGGGACUACAAAAUUUAGAUCCGGGACUAAUGCCUUUUUAGUCCUAGGUCCAAUUCGUUUCGAGAUUUUUGUCCAAUGAUUGAAAGUUGUUUCUCUACUUAGUGCAAGGACGAUGGAAUUUAUGUACAACCAAGAGGACAAUUUCACAAGCUACCCUAACCUCAAGGAUACCAUCCACUUGUUGUUGGCGGAGUCAUUUAAUUUACAAUCCUCAUUUAGUAUUGGCAAUGACAAUAAAUUGUAUGUCUAGUUAAUAAUACAAUGUGGCGUCAGCUCAUUCUUCUGCACCCAUAUUUCAGUGUCAUCGGGUACAUUAUCUCUUGUCUAUGGUAGUAGGUUGGAAAAUAUUCUCUCUUAAAAUCUCCAUUAUGCAGGUCAACUGUUGUCUACUUUAGUAAUCAGAGUUACUUAAUCGCAGUACUGGUUGCUGUCUCUCUCUUUUUUCCUUGCGAGGACAAUGCCCGAAUGAAUGCCGUGCUUUUACCUUUUUUCUUUUGAAAGAAAGUGCCGUUUACCCCUUGUUCCUCGCCUUCUGUUGAAUCGAUGAUGAUGAUGAUCUGUUUAUGAGCCAAAUUGAUUACUAUUAAUAACAACUGUAGACCAAGCAAUCCAUGUAAACAGUUUAGAGAAACAUGCACGCUAUACGCUGCUGUACAGAUUUUUAUCUCUAAAAGCUAAGCUGAUCGAAAAAUCGUUAGUGUUGUUGGUUCAGUUUUUAGGUGAUGCGUUAAUGGAGCUGUGUUGAUUGAUGCUAGUGCCAUUUCAAGCUUGGAAAAAGAAAAACUGGCGACGGUGUUGAUUUUUCUGCAAGUUGUCCAUCGGGGCCAUCCAUGGGCCACCUCAGUAUUUUUCAAGUGGCAGAGAGCAGGUAGCAUUUGCAUCAUUUCCGCCUUUUUUAUUUUUUAACUUUUUUUCUGAAAGAUUCUUACAAAUAGACUCCAAAUAGGCUCCUGAAGGUAACAUUUCAAAAUCUGGACCCUUAGCUCGGCAUCAUCAUUGGUGGUACCAAGCUUACACGUCUCAACGUCAGGGGGUUUGACACCUAGGUUGUAGCGCCGUUAGUGACGUGGACGCUGACAUGGCAGCCUGCUUGGCGCCGUAGAUCUUAGCGCCAUAGAUCUUGGCGUCGAGCUCGGUGCCGUAUUACCCUGUAGCUCUUGGCGUUUGAAAUGAAACAAGUAUAUUUAUUCCGAGAAGCAUGCAACAACCACAUUGCAGUUUAGACAUGUGCAUUUUAUCCUAAAGGCACUAGAACGAAUGUUUAUUUGAAGGGAAGAAAUAAAAAUACCGAAGGACUCACAAAGCAUGCUAGCUAGCUUGUGUGUGCUACCGGUUGAUACUGACAGCAUAGUUUGCGCAAGAAAAAAAAAAGCCUCACAUGUUGGGCAAAUCUCUGAUUGGCUGCUGCGUGACGAAAUGACGUCUUCAAGUGCCCCUGUGUGCUCCGUGACGUUCUUUGUUGGGUCGAAACUCGAAAGUCAAGUGUGUGGCAAUGAAAGGACACGGUAGCUGUAGCUGAAAUGUCAAAAAAGAUUCAGCACUGGAUUCAAACUCAGACCUUUGGGAUAAAACACACGUGUCCUAACCAACUGAACCAUAGUGUGGUUGUUGCAUGCUUCUCGGAACAAAUAUACUUAUUUCAUUUCAAACGCCAAGAGGUAUAGAGUAACAGCUCAACGCCAAGAUCUACGACGCCAAGGUCGGCGCCAAGCUUGGCGCAUCCACCCUAACGCUAAGCGGGUUGCCAUGUCAGCAUCCACGUCGCCAACGGCGCUACGACCUAGGCGCCAAACCCCCUGGCGGCGAGACGUGUAAGCUUGGCGCCACCAAUAAUGACGCCGAGCUAAAGGUCCAAAUUUUGAAAUGUUACCUUCAAGAUUUAUUUGUGAGAAUCUUUCAUUUUUGUUUGUGAGAAUCUUCAAAAAGUGGCUAAAAAACAAAAAAAAGGGGCAUCAUUUCUAUUUCUGUCUUUGCACGCUCCUUCCACUUCCACCAUCAACAUUUCUCUUCUUUUUUCUGGGUACGUAGGGGCUUUUUUCUUUCUUCGUCAAUUAUAUUGUUCAGCUGGACACGUGAACCUCUCUCUUAUUUUCUCGAGGCAUUUAUCAACAGCUUGACCAGCAACCCUGCUCGCUCGUCGUGUGGCACGUGGCCUGCACGUACACAGUCAGAUCCACCUUGGCAAGCUAGCUAUACACGGAAUGAUCAUGAUCCUCCACAUAAUCCUGAUCCAAACCUUUCCUGCAGCUCUCUAUCAUACCGGCAGUAGAACCAUGACCUGGAAUAUUGCACUCUCUCCCUAACACAAGAAACAUGACAUACGUACCAAACUGUUCAUGAAUUUUUGUUUUUGUUAUUUUCUUGAGGGAACCAAAAAGUCUAUGAAUUGUAGGAAGGCACUAGUGGGCUUGGCGGCUUCAAUUUCAGAUCUAGAGCGAGGGGGAUGCCCUACAAGCAGAUCCUCAGAAUGCCUGGGAUGGAUGGAAAGCACAGAGCAGUAGGCACAGCAUGCCAUCAAUCUUAUUCCAGACAGCUAGCUCCCUCCAUUAUGUUAGUUCGCUGAGUAGUCAAUUUCUAGAUCGUCCUUUUUUAUCUCUUAUUCCAGAAGCACAAGUCACUUGUGGCCAUCAACUUCUAGUUCUUCAUCAUCAUCAACUCAGAUCGUGAGUAGUACUCUGUGUUAUCACAGAGUACUACUCACGAUGGGCAGAGAGGCGGUCACGUCGGAAGAGGAAGAGGCCGAGGCAGAGGACCUCCAAAGCCGCAUAACCAAAACAAUCAACGUCGAAUGUUUUAUUGCACUUUUCAAAGCAAACAACUAGAUCAUGCAACCAAGUUUUCUCCGAAAUAAAAAGACCUUCAAAAGAAUAGCUGAAGAAAAAGAGCUACCGCAGCAUCCAUACCUGUUUGGAGCCACAACAGCCAUACUUACGAGCUUAUCCACCUACAAACUCAAAUCCUGACCUUGCAAACUUUCAACCUGCCAUGGCCACCUUGAUCUCCUUCAAACCACCACAGUGCAUCAGCAGCAAUAGCAGGAGCUGCCAUAUUGCUGCAUCACCGCGGCCGCUCAUCAGGCGAUGCCCAAGCGUUUCACGGCGGAGGUGUCUGCAGCGGCGCACCUGCAGGUUGCGAUGCGGCCAAUCGCAGCAGGAUUGUGCCCCAAGAACAGGCCAUGGCCUUGAUGAGGAUGAUAGCCGGCUGAGCCAGAAUGCCGGUAUUUUCCACCCAUCUAUCUGGGGAGAUUUCUUUCUUGGCUACUCCAACCCAGCAGCUUCAUCGCAGCAACAGGUUUGUUUAUUGUUUCCCCGCCACGAUCGCCUUCUCUUCUAAACAUACGCGGUCGGCAAAUUCUUGAGAUUAAUAGGGUCAUAUAGUUUUCUAAUCAAUUUGUGUGUGAUUAUAUAUCAGUCAUAGAAAAUGUUAAGGACAAUCAGUACAUGUCAUUAUGCUAAGUUUAAAUGCUGUCUUCAGCAGACUCAGAUGGAAGAACGAGCCGACAAACUCAAGGAAGAAGUGGCCGAAAUAAUGGCAAGUUCAACAUUUAGCGGCCUGCAUGAGAGGCUACAUCUCAUCGAUACUUUGGAGCGUCUGUGCUUGGAUCACCUGUUUGAAGAAGAGAUUAAUGCUGCAUUACCACAAAUGCAGACUGCUGAUGUCAGUGACUACGAUCUUGGGACGGUAGCUCUGUGGUUUUGUCUACUUCGCAAACAUGGGUAUAAGGUUUCACCAGGUAAUAUUAAUAUUAAAUUGAAUAAACAAACCACGGAAUUCCAAAUAAAUAUGCACGGUUGCGUAUAAUGCAUGGUCUAAUUUAAGAGCAUAGUUGACGCAGCCAUGCUUCGAACGUGUUAAAAUGGUAAAAGAAAGGUAGCUUGGGCAUGUGGACUGUGGGAAAUAUCUUUGAAAGUUUACUUAACUUUCUUAAAAACUGACGAUAUUUUGACAAAUUCAAUAACAUAUUCCAGACGUGCUUGCGAGAUUCAAAGAUGAAGAUGGAGGUUUUCUAGCAGAUAACCCUGCAGACCUACUGAGCCUUUACAAUGCUGCGCAUAUGAGGACCCAUGGGGAGAUAAUACUUGAUGAAGCCAUACUAUUCACACGAAGUUGUUUAGAAACAACAUUACCCAACAUGGAAGAAUCAUUAUUAGCACGUGAAAUAAAAUAUGCACUUGAGAUCCCUCUGCCUAGAAGGGUUAGAAUAUAUGAGUCAAAGUAUUACAUCUCUGCAUAUGAGAAAGAUGCUACAGUACAUGAAACGAUAUUGCAGCUUGCAAAGUUGAACUCAAAUAUUAUGCAGCUCCAUCAUCAGCGUGAGCUGAUAACCAUUACAAGGUGAAACUAAUCAAGUAAUUGUUACCAUUUGAGCCUAUUCUAUUGCUUAUUUAUACUUCAAACUAGAAAUAACUAGCGUCAUCACUGAUACACCUCUAAUAAAUGUAUAUAUAGGUGGUGGAAGGAUUUACAUAUUGAAUCGAGGCUUCCAUUUGCUCGAGAUAGAGUUGUGGAAUGCUACCUGUGGAUGUUAGGAGUAUACUUUGAACCAUGUUAUUCACGAAGCCGAAUAAUAGUGACAAUGAUUAUUGCUAUAGUAACUCUCUUGGAUGAUAUUUAUGAUUCUUAUGCAACUCCAGAAGAAUGUGAAUUACUUACCAAGUGCAUUGAAAGGUUUGUAUUCCUCCCUCCUUACAAAUAUCUUUAACAUCCUAGGUUCACAAAAGUUCAUGUCUAUCUUUAAUGUGAAAUUCAAAGAGAACAAUAAAGAAAAAAUAUAUGCCACUAAUUGUAAAAAAAAGACUUUAGAUAAUCAUAUUUCAAUGGUAACCCAUGUUAUCUGUAUUUUUGGUUAAUCUUUAGCUUAUUACCUCCUAUGUGUGUGGUCAUGCACAAAAAGUUCCACCUAGCUUGGGGGAAUCCAACAAUAAAUGGAGGUUCAACCAAUUUGAUAGACGGAUAAUUACACAUUUAAAUUACAGGGAAUUUCUUAUGUCACGGUAAAUAUUAAAUUCAUGUGUUUGUUUAAACUAUCUUGGCCAGCUGGGAUGCUAAGGCGGCUCAUGACCUCCCGGAGUGCCUGAAAUUUGCUUUGGGGAAGAUGUUGGAUAGCUUUCAAACCAUUGCGAAUAUGCUCCACCAGGAGGAGAAAUAUCGCAUGUCCUAUCUAAGAUACUUUGUAAGUUUACAUUCCGAUCUAGAUUUUUAUUUGAGAGAUGAUAUACAUAUGAAAUAUUUUGUUACAAACCAUUUAUAAAGGCUCAUCAGGAAAGUAACUUUAUUGCUCAGUAGUUGGGCGUUAAUUCAGAUCCUCUCUGCACAUUCACAUGGACAUGUGGGUAAACAUUCCGUAAACCAUUUUUAGUACGCGUACCAUUUAUCUAUUCCAUUUUCUCAGUCCCACUUUAAAUGUUUUUCCGGGAAACUGAAGAUAUAUCUAGUUAUCCUAGUAGGUUUGCAUGCAUGUUAAAUUGAUGCUAUCAGCACAAACAUGUCUGUAAACACAUACCCUUGUUUCUAACUCAACAAUUUCCAUAAACUUACUAUCUUCAAUUUGCAGAUUGAAGAUCUGGUUAGAAGCUUUAGCAUGGAAGUAAAAAUGCUUGAAGAAGGCUACAUUCCAGAGUCUGUUGAAGAGCACCUGCAAGUUUCAAUAAGAACUGGAGGGUGUCCUCUUUUGUCAUGUGCUUCCUUCAUUGGGAUGAAUGAUGUGGCAACAAAAGAUUGUUUUAAUUGGGUUUCUAGUGUACCUAACAUGGUCAAGGCACUUUCCAGAAUUCUCAGACUAUUAGAUGACCUCCAAUCAUAUGAGGUAAUAUCUCUCGCUCAUUCCUUAGUUUAAAAAAUGUGAUAAUAUUUGAAGCCUAAUAUCAAACCCAUAAUUCCCAUUUCCAAUUUGAAUUGAUGGGAAUUUGACAUUAAUAAUUAACAAAACAUAUUUUUGUUACCAAGAACUUGACAUUCAUGCUAUGUACGUUCCUCUUACCAAUAUUUUUUAAUGUUUCAAUUAAUACAGCGGGAGCAAUUGAUCCCUCAUGUUGCGUCAACAAUCGAUAGCUACAUGAAGGAGCACAAUGUCUCGAUUGAAGUGGCACGUGAGAAGAUACACACUCUAAAAGAGGAGUCAUGGAAAGAUUUUAACAACGAGUGGUUGAAUUCAGACAAUACCAUCCCAAAGCAACUAUUGGAGAGGAUAUUCAACUUGACGAGGACGAUGGAAUUCAUGUACAACCAAGAGGACAAUUUCACAAACAGCACCAACCUAAAGGAUACCAUCCAUUCAUUGUUCGUGGAACCAUAUACAAAGCUUAUUUAGGAUUUGUUUGUUGGCAACCAACAAACAAAUUGUUGGCCCAAAUAAUAUAAUGUGGGAUUAGCUCAUCCUCCAGCACCCAUGCAUGUUUCAUUUGAU